Molecule: ribosomal RNA, 752 nt
Filed under: Lichenothelia umbrophila
Lineage: Eukaryota; Fungi; Ascomycota; Dothideomycetes; Lichenotheliales; Lichenotheliaceae
Description: SSU rRNA
Rfam family: Eukaryotic small subunit ribosomal RNA
Source: RNAcentral
CGGAGUCGUUUAUCGUUUAUUUGAUAGUACCUUACUACUUGGAUAACCGUGGUAAUUCUAGAGCUAAUACAUGCUGAAAACCCCGACUUCGGGAGGGGUGUAUUUAUUAGAUAAAAAACCAACGCCCUUCGGGGCUCCUUGGUGAUUCAUAAUAACUUAACGAAUCGCAUGGCCUUGCGCCGGCGAUGGUUCAUUCAAAUUUCUGCCCUAUCAACUUUCGAUGGUAGGAUAGUGGCCUACCAUGGUAUCAACGGGUAACGGGGAAUUAGGGUUCGAUUCCGGAAAGGGAGCCUGAGAAACGGCUACCACAUCCAAGGAAGGCAGCAGGCGCGCAAAUUACCCAAUCCCGACACGGGGAGGUAGUGACAAUAAAUACUGAUACAGGGCUCUUUUGGGUCUUGUAAUUGGAAUGAGUACAAUUUAAAUCCCUUAACGAGGAACAAUUGGAGGGCAAGUCUGGUGCCAGCAGCCGCGGUAAUUCCAGCUCCAAUAGCGUAUAUUAAAGUUGUUGCAGUUAAAAAGCUCGUAGUUGAACCUUGGGCCUGGCCGGCCGGUCCGCCUCACCGCGUGCACUGGUUCGGCCGGGCCUUUCCUUCUGGGGAGCCGCAUGCCCUUCACUGGGUGUGCCGGGGAACCAGGACUUUUACUUUGAAAAAAUUAGAGUGUUCAAAGCAGGCCUUUGCUCGGAUACAUUAGCAUGGAAUAAUAGAAUAGGACGUGCGGUUCUAUUUUGUUGGUUUCUAGGACCGCCG